Molecule: ribosomal RNA, 407 nt
Filed under: uncultured bacterium
Lineage: Bacteria
Description: partial 16S ribosomal RNA
Rfam family: Bacterial small subunit ribosomal RNA
Source: RNAcentral
AUUGAACGCUGGCGGCAGGCCUAACACAUGCAAGUCGAGCGGAGCGGCGGACGGGUGAGUAAUACCUAGGAAUCUGCCUGGUAGUGGGGGAUAACGUUCGGAAACGGGCGCUAAUACCGCAUACUAUCAGAUGAGCCUAGGUCGGAUUAGCUAGUUGGUGGGGUAAUGGCCUACCAAGGCGACGAUCCGUAACUGGUCUGAGAGGAUGAUCAGUCACACUGGAACUGAGACACGGUCCAGACUCCUACGGGAGGCAGCAGUGGGGAAUAUUGGACAAUGGGCGAAAGCCUGAUCCAGCCAUGCCGCGUGUGUGAAGAAGGUCUUCGGAUUGUAAAGCACUUUAAGUUGGGAGGCGUUACCGACAGAAUAAGCACCGGCUAACUUCGUGCCAGCAGCCGCGGUAAUUC